GACGAACGCUGGCGGCGGGCUUAACACAUGCAAGUCGAACGGAAAGGCCCUGCUUUUGUGGGGUGCUCGAGUGGCGAACGGGUGAGUAACACGUGAGUAACCUGCCCUUGACUUUGGGAUAACUUCAGGAAACUGGGGCUAAUACCGGAUCGGAGCUCCUGCUGCAUGGUGGGGGUUGGAAAGUUUCGGCGGUUGGGGAUGGACUCGCGGCUUAUCAGCUUGUUGGUGGGGUAGUGGCUUACCAAGGCUUUGACGGGUAGCCGGCCUGAGAGGGUGACCGGCGACAUUGGGACUGAGAGACGGCCCAGACUCCUACGGGAGGCAGCAGUGGGGAAUAUUGCACAAUGGGCGGAAGCCUGAUGCAGCAACGCCGCGUGCGGGAUGACGGCCUUCGGGUUGUAAACCGCUUUCGCCUGUGACGAAGCGUGAGUGACGGUAAUGGGUAAAGAAGCACCGGCUAACUACGUG
Molecule: ribosomal RNA, 468 nt
Filed under: uncultured bacterium
Lineage: Bacteria
Description: partial 16S ribosomal RNA
Rfam family: Bacterial small subunit ribosomal RNA
Source: RNAcentral